Molecule: ribosomal RNA, 745 nt
Filed under: Arthrobacter sp. LZX10
Lineage: Bacteria; Bacillati; Actinomycetota; Actinomycetes; Micrococcales; Micrococcaceae
Description: bacterial SSU rRNA
Rfam family: Bacterial small subunit ribosomal RNA
Source: RNAcentral
CACAUGCAAGUCGAACGAUGAAGCCCAGCUUGCUGGGUGGAUUAGUGGCGAACGGGUGAGUAACACGUGAGUAACCUGCCCCCGACUCUGGGAUAAGCCCGGGAAACUGGGUCUAAUACCGGAUAUGACCUCGCACCGCAUGGUGCGGGGUGGAAAGAUUUAUCGGUGGGGGAUGGACUCGCGGCCUAUCAGCUUGUUGGUGAGGUAAUGGCUCACCAAGGCGACGACGGGUAGCCGGCCUGAGAGGGUGACCGGCCACACUGGGACUGAGACACGGCCCAGACUCCUACGGGAGGCAGCAGUGGGGAAUAUUGCACAAUGGGCGCAAGCCUGAUGCAGCGACGCCGCGUGAGGGAUGACGGCCUUCGGGUUGUAAACCUCUUUCAGUAGGGAAGAAGCGAAAGUGACGGUACCUGCAGAAGAAGCGCCGGCUAACUACGUGCCAGCAGCCGCGGUAAUACGUAGGGCGCAAGCGUUAUCCGGAUUUAUUGGGCGUAAAGAGCUCGUAAGCGGUUUGUCGCGUCUGCCGUGAAAGUCCCGAGGCUCAACCUUCGGAUNCUUGCGAGUUGGGGUACCGGGANAGAACUAGAAGUUGGAUGUUAAGGGGGAAAANUGGGAAAUUNCCUGGGNNGGAAACGNGUUGAAAAUUGCCCCAGAAUAUUCCANGAAGGGAAACCCCNUNUGGGUCGNAAACGNCAUGGUCUCCUGGGGNCAAUUUUAACUUGGACCCCUUNAAAGGAAAUCG